GACGAACGCUGGCGGCGCACUUAACACAUGCAAGUCGAACGGAAAGGCCUGCUUUCCCUUGUGGAUUGCGGGUACUCGAGUGGCGAACGGGUGAGUAACACGUGAGUGAUCUGCCCCCAACUUGGGUAUAAGCCUGGGAAACUGGGUCUAAUUCCCGAUAGGACUGCAGGGUGGUGCCUGUGGUGGAAAACGAUUUUCUAGUGGUUGGGGAUGGGCUCGCGGCCUAUCAGCUUGUUGGUGGGGUAAUGGCCUACCAAGGCGGGGACGGGUAGCCGGCCUGAGAGGGUGGACGGCCACAUUGGGACUGAGAAACGGGCCAGACGCCUACGGGAGGAAGCAGUGGAGAAUAUUGAAGAAUGGGCGGAAGACUGAAGCAGCGACGACGCGUGGGGGAUGACGGCCUUCGGGUUGUAAACUCCUUUCGACAGCGAGGAAGCCACCUGGUUGGAAGGGUGGUGACGGUAGUGGUAGAAGAAGCACCGGCUAACUACGUG
This 494-nucleotide ribosomal RNA is filed under the name uncultured bacterium. Its description in RNAcentral is "partial 16S ribosomal RNA". It matches the Rfam family "Bacterial small subunit ribosomal RNA", at positions 28 to 507 of the family's 1533-position model. The record is from RNAcentral.